This 303-nucleotide ribosomal RNA is filed under the name uncultured bacterium. Its description in RNAcentral is "partial 16S ribosomal RNA". It matches the Rfam family "Bacterial small subunit ribosomal RNA", at positions 507 to 807 of the family's 1533-position model. The record is from RNAcentral.
AGCAGUCGCCGCGGUAAUACGGAGGGUGCAAGCGUUAUCCGGAUUUAUUGGGUUUAAAGGGUCCGUAGGCGGAUCUGUAAGUCAGUGGUGAAAUCUCACAGCUUAACUGUGAAACUGCCAUUGAUACUGCAGGUCUUGAGUAAAUUUGAAGUGGCUGGAAUAAGUAGUGUAGCGGUGAAAUGCAUAGAUAUUACUUAGAACACCAAUUGCGAAGGCAGGUCACUAAGAUUUAACUGACCCUGAUGGACGAAAGCGUGGGGAGCGAACAGGAUUAGAUACCCGCGUAGUCCCUGUCUCUUAUAC